UGAUAAGUCAGCAAAUGCUAGAAGACUCU
RNAcentral lists this non-coding RNA (29 nucleotides) under Mus musculus (house mouse). Lineage: Eukaryota; Metazoa; Chordata; Mammalia; Rodentia; Muridae. The record is from RNAcentral.